CCCAGACUCCUACGGGAGGCAGCAGUGGGGAAUAUUGCACAAUGGGGGAAACCCUGAUGCAGCAACGCCGCGUGAGUGAGGAAGUAUUUCGGUAUGUAAAGCUCUAUCAGCAGGGAAUAGAAAAGAAGGUACCUGAAAAAGAAGCCCCGGCUAACUACGUGCCAGCAGCCGCGGUAAUACGUAGGGGGCAAGCGUUAUCCGGAUUUACUGGGUGUAAAGGGAGCGUAGACGGAAAGGCAAGUCAGAUGUGAAAGCCCGGGGCUCAACCCCGGGACUGCAUUUGGAACUGUGUGGCUGGAGUGUCUGAGAGGCAGGCGGAAUUCCUAGUGUAGCGGUGAAAUGCGUAUAUAUUAGGAGGAACACCGGUGGCGAAGGCGGCCUGCUGGACUGCGACUGACGUUGAGGCCCGAAAGCGUGGGGAGCAAACAGGAUUAGAUACCCGGGUAA
Molecule: ribosomal RNA, 447 nt
Filed under: uncultured bacterium
Lineage: Bacteria
Description: partial 16S ribosomal RNA
Rfam family: Bacterial small subunit ribosomal RNA
Source: RNAcentral